Molecule: ribosomal RNA, 248 nt
Filed under: uncultured organism
Description: partial 16S ribosomal RNA
Rfam family: Bacterial small subunit ribosomal RNA
Source: RNAcentral
GAGGGAUAUUGCACAAUGGGCGCAAGCCUGAUGCAGCGACGCCGCGUGAGUGAUGAAGGCCUUCGGGUCGUAAAACUCUUUUGCCGAUGACGAGGAAGGACGGUAGUCGGCGAAUAAGCAUCGGCUAACUACGUGCCAGCAGCCGCGGGAAUACGUAGGGGACGAGCGUUGUCCGGACUUACUGGGGGUAAAGGGCGCGUAGGCGGGUUAGCAAGUGCGGUUGGAAAUACCGGGGCUCAGCUACGGGG